GAUGAAGAACGUAGCGAAAUGCGAUAAGUAGUGUGAAUUGCAGAAUUCAGUGAAUCAUCGAAUCUUUGAACGCACAUUGCGCCCCUUGGUAUUCCAUGGGGCAUGCCUGUUCGAGCGUCAUUUGUACCUUCAAGCUUUGCUUGGUGUUGGGUGUUUGACCUGAGGGACUCGCCUUAAAGUAAUUGGCAGCCAGUGUUUGGUUUUGAAGCGCAGCACAAGUCGCGAUUCAAGGCUAUACACCAGCUUCCACAAGCCUUUUUCACUUUUGACCUCGGAUCAGGUAGGGAUACCCGCUGAACUUAAGCAUAUCAAUAAGCGGAGGA
RNAcentral lists this unclassified non-coding RNA (323 nucleotides) under soil metagenome. RNAcentral's name for it is "partial contains 5.8S ribosomal RNA, internal transcribed spacer 2, and large subunit ribosomal RNA". The stretch from base 1 to 120 matches the Rfam family "5.8S ribosomal RNA", at positions 35 to 154 of the family's 154-position model. The record is from RNAcentral.